This 253-nucleotide ribosomal RNA is filed under the name uncultured bacterium. RNAcentral's name for it is "partial 16S ribosomal RNA". It matches the Rfam family "Bacterial small subunit ribosomal RNA", at positions 524 to 776 of the family's 1533-position model. The record is from RNAcentral.
UACGGAGGGAGCUAGCGUUGUUCGGAAUUACUGGGCGUAAAGCGUACGUAGGCGGUUACUCAAGUCAGAGGUGAAAGCCCGGGGCUCAACCCCGGAACUGCCUUUGAAACUAGGUAGCUAGAAUCUUGGAGAGGUCAGUGGAAUUCCGAGUGUAGAGGUGAAAUUCGUAGAUAUUCGGAAGAACACCAGUGGCGAAGGCGGCUCACUGGACUGGUAUUGACGCUGAGGUGCGAAAGCGUGGGGAGCAAACAGG